UCCUCGUUGGUGUAUCGGUAACAUAUGAGCUUCUCACGGUCACAGUGUGACACGCCUUGCAUAAUCAAAGUCGCUCGAGCGCGGGGUUCGAUUCCCCGACGGGGAA
Molecule: non-coding RNA, 106 nt
Organism: Mycena amicta
Lineage: Eukaryota; Fungi; Basidiomycota; Agaricomycetes; Agaricales; Mycenaceae
Source: the annotation of a GenBank genome assembly